Molecule: ribosomal RNA, 445 nt
Filed under: uncultured bacterium
Lineage: Bacteria
Description: partial 16S ribosomal RNA
Rfam family: Bacterial small subunit ribosomal RNA
Source: RNAcentral
GUGAGGAAUAUUGGACAAUGGGCGCAAGCCUGAUCCAGCCAUGCCGCGUGCAGGAAGACGCAUCUAUGGUGUGUAAACUGCUUUUGUACGGGAAGAAACACUCCCUCGUGAGGGAGCUUGACGGUACCGUAAGAAUAAGGAUCGGCUAACUCCGUGCCAGCAGCCGCGGUAAUACGGAGGAUCCAAGCGUUAUCCGGAAUCAUUGGGUUUAAAGGGUCCGUAGGCGGUUUAAUAAGUCAGUGGUGAAAGCCCAUCGCUCAACGAUGGAACGGCCAUUGAUACUGUUAGACUUGAAUUACAAGGAAGUAACUAGAAUAUGUAGUGUAGCGGUGAAAUGCUUAGAUAUUACAUGGAAUACCAAUUGCGAAGGCAGGUUACUACUUGUGGAUUGUCGCUGAUGGACGAAAGCGUGGGGAGCGAACAGGAUUAGAAACCCUUGUAGUCC